RNAcentral lists this long non-coding RNA (1504 nucleotides) under Oryctolagus cuniculus (rabbit). Its description in RNAcentral is "lncRNA (ENSOCUG00000037030.1)". Lineage: Eukaryota; Metazoa; Chordata; Mammalia; Lagomorpha; Leporidae. The record is from RNAcentral.
GAGUCGCGGCUCGCUUCCCUUCCCGGCGCUGACUCCUCGCAGACCUCAAGCCGAGCCCUGAGGAUGAUGACAGGAAGGUGCGAAGGAGAGAAAAAAACCGAGUUGCUGCUCAGAGAAGUCGGAAGAAGCAGACCCAGAAGGCUGACAAACUCCACGAGGCUGAGCUCCGACCAGGCAACCUCGUGGCAACCAGACCAUUUUCAGAGUUUUUUGUUUCCUAUCUCUGCUUCGGUAUGUUUUCAUGUAAUAUAAUCGUGCAGAUGAGCAGAUGACUGAACCCAUUUAAUUACAAAUUCGUUUCCUCUUAGAUGAUACAAAAGGAAACUUUGAUCCCUAAAUUGCCAUAAAGCCUAUGCACUGUCCAGAUCAAUGACACUUUGGCCAGACAUAAGCGAGGUCUGACACCAGCUCUCUCCAGGCCUCUCCUGGACCGAGGGUUCCCCAGGACUGGAUGAGCGUGCUUUCCUGGGCAGCCACUUUCACUGCCCUGCCAGGACAGCGGGCCUGUGCCAGCGUGGGGGUGGGGUGCAGAGGAUGGGCAGGCAGGGACUGAGUUUGCUUUAGGAAGCUGCUGGGUGACUUACUACACGGUUUCUCCCUGAGUCAUCAGGGCAGGGAUGAGUUUGGAGGAGCAGAGUUUUUCUGCCAGUAUUUGGGUUGAGAGGACUCAAAGGGCACCUCAUUUGCAUGAUGAUUUACAUGACUGGGUCUUUAUUCAUAAGCACUGUUGGGAGUGAUGAAAGCUCACAGACCUUGUUUAUGGCUGUUUCCUCAUUUCCACAUUUCCACCUGGCACGCCAGCUGCUAGGCAGGCAUAGCCACUAGAGCAUCUAAUAGGGCCCACUUACGAACACCUUCACGCAGGGUCCUUGGCCUUGGAGGGGUGGGUGUGAAGACAGUGAGCAAACACAGCUUUUUGGGUUUUUGAGGAAGUGACCAUCUGUGGCAGGAGCAGGAGCGAAAAAGAUUCUGAGAGCCCUCAUGAAGGAACUUCUGUGCCAUGGGUUGAGGGGGCACCAGAGCAUGUGGUGGUGGCUACGCAGAGAGCAGAGAUGCUGUGGUCUGGGGGAAGUAGAGAUGAGUUGGCUGUGCCCUCUGGGUCUCAAGCUCCUCCCUGUGUAACGAGACUGAUAAUGCCUACCUUGCUCACUUGCUUUGACGAUUAAAUGAGCUGGUGAGGGCUGGCACCAUGGCUCAUUUGGUUAAUCCUCCGCCUGCAGUGCUGGCAUCGCAUAUGGGUGCCAGGUUCUAGUCCCGGUUGCUCCUCUUCCAGUCCAGCUCUCUGCUGUGGCCUGGGAAGGCAGUGGAGGAUGGCCUAAGUGCUUGGGCCCCUGCACUCACAUGGGAGACCAGGAACAAUCACCUGGCUCCUGGCUUCGGAUCAGCACAGCUCCGACCAUUGCGGCCAAUUGGGGAGUGAACUAAUGGAAGGAAGACGUCUCUAUGUAACUCUGAUUUUCAAAUAAUUAAUAAAUAAAUCUUUUUAAAAAGUACUUGAGUUCCU